UAAGACGGAGGGAGCAAGCGUUGUUCGGAUUUACUGGGCGUAAAGGGCGUCUAGGCGGGUCUGUAAGUCAGGUGUGAAAUCCCCCGGCUCAACCGGGGAACUGCACUUGAUACUGCAGGUCUUGAGUUCGGAAGAGGGAAGCGGAAUUCCUGGUGUAGCGGUGAAAUGCGUAGAUAUUAGGAAGAACACCGGUGGCGAAGGCGGCUUCCUGGACCGAUACUGACGCUGAAGCGCGAAAGUGUGGGGAGCAAACAGGAUUAGAUACCCUGGUAGUCCACACUGUAAACGAUGGAUGCUAGGUGUCGGGGGUAUCGACCCCUCCGGUGCCGAAGUUAACGCAUUAAGCAUCCCGCCUGGGGAGUACGGUCGCAAGGCUG
This 377-nucleotide ribosomal RNA is filed under the name uncultured bacterium. RNAcentral describes it as "bacterial SSU rRNA". It matches the Rfam family "Bacterial small subunit ribosomal RNA", at positions 521 to 896 of the family's 1533-position model. The record is from RNAcentral.